Molecule: transfer RNA, 70 nt
Filed under: Dipodomys ordii (Ord's kangaroo rat)
Lineage: Eukaryota; Metazoa; Chordata; Mammalia; Rodentia; Heteromyidae
Rfam family: tRNA
About the family: Transfer RNA (tRNA) molecules are approximately 80 nucleotides in length. Their secondary structure includes four short double-helical elements and three loops (D, anti-codon, and T loops).
Source: Rfam by way of RNAcentral
GGGAAUGUAGCUUAGUGGUAGAGUGCUUGCCUGGCACACAUGAAGCCCUGGGUUCAAUUCCUCAGUACCA